Ochotona princeps (American pika) is the source of this 161-nucleotide non-coding RNA. NCBI's taxonomy places the organism in Eukaryota, Metazoa, Chordata, Mammalia, Lagomorpha, Ochotonidae. The record is from Rfam.
ACAAACUAAGAGAUACAAAGGGAAAGUGUGACUGUUCUGACAGCAAAAACAAGCAAUAUUCUCCAGAGGGGAUAUCCCUCUGCUUCAAGUAAGCGGAAGCAAGCAAGGCCAGCCAGCUUCACUGGGAACAACACCUGUCCAUCAGACAAGGCUGAGUUAAU